GAAACCCCCUCGCCGAAAGACUAAGGUUUCCUGAUCAACGCUAAUCGGAUCAGGGUCAGUCGGGUCCUAAGGCUCAGCCGAACGGCGAUGCCGAUGGCAGAAACGGUUAAUAUUCCGUUACUACCUUCAGGAGUGACGUGGAGACGCAGUAGUGACAGUGCCGCCAUCUGACGGAAUAGAUGGUUGAAGGGUGUAGGAGUCGAUCAUGGCAGGCAAAUCCACCAUGAGAUCCGAACCUGAUAGUAUGCCGCGUCCUUCGGGACAAGGCAAUAGUGCGCGUAAGCAUGCUGCCGAGAAAAUCCGCUAAACUUAAUCCUGCAGGUACCCGUACCGCAAACGGACACACGUAGUCGGGUUGAAUAUACUAAGGCGCUUGAGUGAUUCACGGUUAAGGAACUAGGCAAACUGACCCUGUAACUUCGGGAUAAAGGGUCCCUACCCUUUUAUGGGAGGGCGCAGAGAAUCGGUCCAGGCAACUGUUUAACAAAAACACAGGGCUGUGCCAAAUCGAAAGAUCCAGUAUACAGCCUGACACCUGCCCGGUGCUGGAAGGUUAAGAGGAGAUGUCAUCGAUAAGAGAAGCGUUGAAUUGAAGCCCCAGUAAACGGCGGCCGUAACUAUAACGGUCCUAAGGUAGCGAAAUUCCUUGUCGGGUAAGUUCCGACCUGCACGAAUGGUGUAAUGAUCUGGACGCUGUCUCAACCGUGAGCUCAGUGAAAUUGUAGUAUCGGUGAAGAUGCCGAUUACCCGCGAUGGGACGAAAAGACCCCGUGAACCUUUACUAUAGCUUAUCAUUGAAUCUGGGCACGUGAUGUGUAGGAUAGGUCGGAGGCUUUGAAGCAGGUACGCCAGUAUUUGUGGAGCCGCUGUUGAAAUACGACCCUUUAUUUGUUUGGAUUCUAACCCGUGGAACGGGGACAUUGAUUGGUGGGUAGUUUGACUGGGGUGGUCGCCUCCAAAAGCGUAACGGAGGCUUCUAAAGGUGCCCUCCGGCCGAUUGGUAACCGGCCUUAGAGUGUAAUGGCAUAAGGGCGCUUGACUGGGAGACUGACAAGUCGAUCAGGUAGGAAACUAGAGCAUAGUGAUCCGGUGUUUCCGUAUGGAAGGGACAUCGCUCAAAGGAUAAAAGGUACUCCGGGGAUAACAGGCUGAUCCCUCCCAAGAGCUCAUAUCGACGGAGGGGUUUGGCACCUCGAUGUCGGCUCGUCACAUCCUGGGGCUGGAGAAGGUCCCAAG
RNAcentral lists this ribosomal RNA (1236 nucleotides) under human gut metagenome. Its description in RNAcentral is "bacterial LSU rRNA". It matches the Rfam family "Bacterial large subunit ribosomal RNA", at positions 1325 to 2569 of the family's 2925-position model. The record is from RNAcentral.